CACGCAGGCGGUUUUGCGCGUUUCGAGUGACAGCGGGUGGCUUAACUGCCCGAGUAUUCGAAAGACGGCAGGACUUGAGGGCCAGAGAGGGACACGGAAUUCCGGGUGGAGUGGUGAAAUGCGUAGAGAUCCGGAGGAACACCGAAGGCGAAGGCAGUGUCCUGGCUGGUGACUGACGCUGAGGUGCGAAAGCCAGGGGAGCGAACGGGAUUAGAUACCCCGGUAGUCCUGGCCGUAAACGAUGACCACCAGGUGUGGGAGGUAUCGACCCCUUCCGUGCCGGAGGAAACCCACUAAGUGGUCCGCCUGGGGAGUACGGUCGCAAGAUUAAA
Molecule: ribosomal RNA, 332 nt
Filed under: uncultured bacterium
Lineage: Bacteria
Description: bacterial SSU rRNA
Rfam family: Bacterial small subunit ribosomal RNA
Source: RNAcentral